This is a long non-coding RNA of Dicentrarchus labrax (European seabass), 332 nucleotides long. RefSeq lists it as uncharacterized. The transcript has 2 exons. The record is from RefSeq and is a predicted model, not a curated record. NCBI's taxonomy places the organism in Eukaryota, Metazoa, Chordata, Actinopteri, Moronidae.
AGCGAACGCCACCUGACAUACAAAAGAGAGAACACAGCAGGUUAACCAAAAAAUCACAUGGAGGAAAAUUAAAGGAACCAUACAAUAAAAAACAAAAACAUGCAAAAACUGUCAAACUGAAAACCUACAAACAGAAUAUUUAUACUUCAUAUAACAAAGGCGAAACCAGUCUAAUAUAACUCAUAGAACGAGUAUAUAAAACCUCUUUAGAGAAGAUGGGGACGGAGAGCUGGCCAUCCACAGGGUGGAGAGUGCACUUUGGGGGCCUCCACUUAGGUGGAGACCCCCACCCCAACCCAAACCUAACCAGCCAGGGCCUCCUGUGGAUCAAU